UACGAAGGGGGCUAGCGUUGUUCGGAUUUACUGGGCGUAAAGCGCGUGUAGGCGGGUCGGUAAGUUGGGGGUGAAAUCCCGAGGCUCAACCUCGUAACCGCCUUCAAAACUGGCGACCUGGACUCAAGCAGAGGCAAGGGGAAUUGCGAGUGUAGAGGUGAAAUUCGUAGAUAUUCGCAGGAACACCAGUGGCGAAGGCGAGUUGCUGGGCUUGUAGUGACGCUGAGACGCGAAAGCGUGGGGAGCAAACAGG
RNAcentral lists this ribosomal RNA (253 nucleotides) under uncultured bacterium. Its description in RNAcentral is "partial 16S ribosomal RNA". It matches the Rfam family "Bacterial small subunit ribosomal RNA", at positions 524 to 776 of the family's 1533-position model. The record is from RNAcentral.